Molecule: long non-coding RNA, 3201 nt
Organism: Helianthus annuus (common sunflower)
Lineage: Eukaryota; Viridiplantae; Streptophyta; Magnoliopsida; Asterales; Asteraceae
Exons: 11
Source: RefSeq, a predicted model, not a curated record
UUUUCAUUCAACAACAGGACAUAACUCUUUUCUCUCUAUCUUCCCUCUCAAAACCCUAGCGCAGCCAUGUCUGAAGUGGAGAUUGCUUGAAGUGGAUUUUACGGCGGCGGAUAAACACGAAUCAAAUGAUUCUUCUUCACUCCGAUUUUUUUAUAUGUUCUUUGACUCUAUCCUUUUUUUAGUAUGAAAAUCCUAACUCGCAUCUUUGAACAAUCGAUGCCAUCCAUCUUCUUGAAACCUGAAUCAGUUACCCUAGGUUUAGAUCAUUCAUUUUGUUGAUUUUUCUUGAAAUCCUUCUUCCAGAUCAUCCAUUAUGGGCCAGAUCUGUUUCUUUUUGCUGCUAUUUAUAAUCCUAAACCUCAUUUUCCCCCAAAUUACAGCUUGAUCAUUUGAUCAUCGGUAUAGGGUAGGAGAUAAUGCACUUUUAUUCAGCAAUAUUGUUGGUCCCUUGAACAAUCCCAGGGAUAUUAAGUUGUUAGAUGAAGUCAAUGGCUGUUUUAAGACGGGCAACAAAAGAAGAAGGGUGAGAGAAGUGUAGCUCAGACUUCUUCAAAGAAAGUGGUGAUUGUGGGUUGUAACGGGUCAGAAGAGAGAUACAGGAGACAAAUCGAUAGAGAGGGACUGGCGUUGGGGAACUUCAUAUCAGUGAAAUGAAUCAGACGAUGAUGGGGUAAGAUGAGUCAUUUUCUGAUUGAAAAGAAGAAGCGAGAUUUAGCUAUCUAGAUGCUGGCAGCUUUCGUAUUUUCCGUCUUUUUUCAGAUGUUGAAUUGCGGUCUGAUGAGCUGGAGAUACACUCAGAGGUCAAAGUCCCUUCAUUCGAAAAGCUCGGACGGUGUAAAAUUACAAGAAAUUCGGAUCUCUGUUCUGCAACAUUGCAAAAUAAGAGUCUAAAUGUAAUAUUUGUUGACGGGACCGAUGUUCCAUCUGAAGAUACAAUCAUGAUUAGGUGUGGAAGUGAGAUAAUCCCCGGCCCUGUUUCUGAUGGCUAUUUGAGUUACAGAUUUAAAGUGAUGCCGAUGAAUGAGUCCUCCAAGAAGGUGUUACAGGCCAAGGAAGAAAGAUAAACUUAGGCUUCGAUAGCCUUGUGGAGAGUCAUAUAAUGAUGUAAUACAAAGGUUGGAGCCAUUUCUUACAGAGCUUGAACGGCAAAGUGCACCCGGCGUAGUUGUAUCUUACCAGGGCUUUAAUUAUCUUAAAAGCAAACCCCCUACACAAGGCUCUGACAUGCACGACUGCGCGACGUCGACGCAGGCCAAAGUUAGCCCGACACCAUCUUCAUUAACAUCUUUAAAGUAAUUAGAAAUGAGGACUUUUUUGGGGUAGACCUGGUCCGACCCGCUAUUCUAAAAGCUUUACAUGCUUAUUUUGCUGAUAGGCCAUCGAAAGAAGUUCCACACACGGAGGUAACCAACAUAUUAGAUCAAUCAUUUCAGUUUUGUAACCUUAGAAAACACCAUUAAUGCAUUUUUUUUUUUUGUCAGAAUUAGAUCAAUCAUUCAGUUAUCCUCCAUUUUUUUAUUUAAGAAAAAAAACAUCAUAAUUAAUUGAGCUUUAAUGUUUGUAACUGUUCUCAUGGCUUUACAUCAUAUUUGAGCCUUUGAAAAAAAAUAAUGUUAAUUCAAUUGCCAAAAACUUCAAUAAAUUGGUAUAGAGAGACAAUGAUUAUUAUGUUGGAAAUGGUACGGAGGAAGGUGAGACUAGAAAUCCUCUGGGCAAUUAGAUGGGCAAUUAGAUUUGAAUACUGUGAACAUGUUUUAUUAUAUCAUCUUGCACCUAAUUCGCUAUUUGAGAGAUUUGGUGAACAUACUGAAGGCACCUUAGGUAGUAAAUAUGGUUUCUAACAUUUAUUAAUCUUUUUGGCAUUUCUAAUUUCCUUCUUCUAUAUGGGUUAAUCUUAGACAUCUAUUAGCAACUCGUGAUCAAGAGCUACGAACACUUUUAGUUGAGGUAGUACUCAUGUUAAUUGGUUAUGUUAUUUACUUUUGAUCUGUUUGGUCAUUUCACAUUUUUUCUUUAAUAGUAAAACAUGUAGCCCAUUUGGCCCGUUUCCAUAAAGUACAAUUACAAUUUGAUCAUUUUUCAUUAUUACAUUUAAUAUGUAAUCAGUGGCGGAACUUGACUAAAAGUUUCGAGGGUGCGUAAAGUGAUAGGACCCAAAUUUUUUUUCCUGUCGUUAUGUUUUAGGUCGGGUCGGCUAUAGAUUCGAGUCAAGUCAAAUAAUAUUAGUUCCAAAUAAAACUAAAAAAUUUCGUUCAUUCAAAGGACCCGUUCUUAGACAUAAAAAUUUGUGAUUAAGUUUAUUGUGUGGUGGGUAACCUAGGGUUAAACAAAUAAGAGUUAAAAUAUAUUUACAAAACUACACAUCACUUAUAUACAAAGUGGUAACAAACUUUACUUUAAUUUAUAUAUUGUAUAAAUAUUUAGGAAAUAUAAUUGGGGGGAGACGAUCCUAUAUAAUUUUUAAAAUUUCCGGACAAAAAAUCGAAACCUAUACACUUCUAACCGAAAUAUUGGGGUGGGCGGGUGCACCCCCGGGCACCAACAAACCUUCGCCCCUGUAUGUAAUUAUUUAUUAUAGGGAGUUACAUAUUGUUUAUUGCAUCAUUUUUUAGAUGAGCGUUUUGGUUUUUGAAGGCAACAAUUGUAUCGUGUUCUAAAAGAGUUAUAUGUAUUGUUUGAUAACUUUUUUCUCUUGAUCUUCUUUAGCCAAUCAAAUAAGUAAGGAUGAAGAACAAGAUAAGGGUUAUAACUUUUUCUUAUAUCGUGUAUAUACUGUUCUAAAAGAGUUAUAUGUAUUGUUUGAUAACUUUUUUCUCUUGAUCUUCUUUAGCCAAUCAAAUGAGUAAGGGUGAAGAACAGGAUAAGUGUUAUAACUUUUUCUUGGAGUAUGCAGCUGACGGUCAGAAAGAAUCGAAACUGAACUUACUACCCGAAGCCAUUAGAAAAUUUGCGCAUGGAACUGGAGAGGACAGUUGGUUGUGGGGUCUGGAGAGCUGGGGAAAUUUCUAAGUUAAGAUCUUGAAACACCAUAUUUAACGGCUUUCUUUUACAGAUCUGGGCAUUGAGUUUGUAUGGAACAAGUGGAGUCCGAUUAAUGUUAAUUUUGAAGACGGGAAUGUUUAAUUAAGAUAUCUUAUUCGUCAUGCAUUAUUCACUUGUAUAAAACAAAAUAAAGUUUGAAAACAUGUCUUUUUUAUUUUA